This 102-nucleotide small RNA is filed under the name Bacillus sp. (in: firmicutes). RNAcentral describes it as "Bacillus sp. Manganese sequence". It matches the Rfam family "Manganese Mn2+ riboswitch aptamer (yybP-ykoY)". From Rfam's summary of the family: This RNA was originally discovered in E. coli during a large scale screen and was named SraF. The family was later found to exist upstream of related families of protein genes in many bacteria, including the the yybP and ykoK genes in B. subtilis. Lineage: Bacteria; Bacillati; Bacillota; Bacilli; Caryophanales; Bacillaceae. The record is from RNAcentral.
CUAAGGAGUAAAGGGGAGUAGCGUCAGGGAAACCUGAAACAAAGUCGUCAUUCCAUGGAUUCUGUCCAUCGGCUUUGUUGGCAUAACGAGUUUAUUUAUGCU